Molecule: ribosomal RNA, 253 nt
Filed under: uncultured bacterium
Lineage: Bacteria
Description: partial 16S ribosomal RNA
Rfam family: Bacterial small subunit ribosomal RNA
Source: RNAcentral
UACGUAGGGUGCAAGCGUUGUCCGGAAUUAUUGGGCGUAAAGAGCUCGUAGGCGGUUCGUCGCGUCGGCUGUGAAAACCCGGAGCUCAACUCCGGGCCUGCAGUCGAUACGGGCGGACUUGAGUUCGGCAGGGGAGACUGGAAUUCCUGGUGUAGCGGUGAAAUGCGUGGAUAUCGAGAAGAACACUUAGGGCGAAGGCAAGACUCUGGACAAAUGCUGACGCUCAUGCACGAAGGCUAGGGUAGCGAACGGG